This 253-nucleotide ribosomal RNA is filed under the name uncultured bacterium. Its description in RNAcentral is "partial 16S ribosomal RNA". It matches the Rfam family "Bacterial small subunit ribosomal RNA", at positions 524 to 776 of the family's 1533-position model. The record is from RNAcentral.
UACGUAGGUGGCAAGCGUUGUCCGGAUUUACUGGGCGUAAAGAGCGCGCAGGCGGCCGAGUAAGUCGAAUGUGAAAGCCCCCGGCUCAACUGGGGAAGGUCAUUCGAUACUGUUCGGCUUGAAAAUAGGAGAGGGAAGCGGAAUUUCAGGUGUAGUGGUGAAAUGCGUAGAUAUCUGAAGGAACACCAGUGGCGAAGGCGGCUUUCUGGCCUAUUCUUGACGCUGAGGCGCGAAAGCUAGGGGAGCGAACGGG